Molecule: ribosomal RNA, 254 nt
Filed under: uncultured bacterium
Lineage: Bacteria
Description: partial 16S ribosomal RNA
Rfam family: Bacterial small subunit ribosomal RNA
Source: RNAcentral
UACGAAGGGGGCUAGCGUUGUUCGGAAUCACUGGGCGUAAAGCGCACGCAGGCGGAUCGUUAAGUCAGGGGUGAAAUGCCAAGGCUCAACCUUGGAACUGCCUCUGAUACUGGCGAUCUUCGAGUCCGGGAGAGGUGAGUGGAACUCCGAGUGUAGAGGUGAAAUGCGCAGAUAUCAGGAAGAACACCAAUGGCGAAAGCAGCUCUCUGGGACGGUACUGACGCUGAGACGCGAAAGCGUGGGGAGCGAACAGG